This 4690-nucleotide long non-coding RNA is filed under the name Canis lupus familiaris (dog). RNAcentral's name for it is "lncRNA (ENSCAFG00845003344.1)". Lineage: Eukaryota; Metazoa; Chordata; Mammalia; Carnivora; Canidae. The record is from RNAcentral.
AGAUCCCGGUCAAGGUGCUAUGCAAACACCAUUACUGUUUUCCCUGGCAGAGGCUCCAUCCUCUGGCAAGAGCUGUAGGGUCAGUAAAGCCACAUGCAAAAUUGGGGAGCAGACAUGCAAUCAGGGCUCUGCGUGGCCUGGUGGUCUCUCCUUGAGGAGGAAGGCCUGGGGACAAGUUUCUGAGGGUUUGUGCCACAAAGAAUGACACUGUGAGGGGAAAUAUUAAGUGGUUAAUUAGAGCCUGCCCACUUGAGAGAGUCUCCAUUUACCCACCGGGGCCCCAUCCAGUCGCUUAUGAAUCUCUGCAGUGUCCCGAUCCUGUCGGUGCCCCCUGAUAGAGCACAGGAUAAUCUGAGCUACUCCUUUGGUCCUUCUUGCUCGGCUCCUGUCCUGUGUGGUUGCUCAAGGACUCACAUAUUUAACAGACCCACUAGACACUAGGAGUUAGGAUUCACACUGCCCUCAGGAUGGUUUCCUCCCUGGUCUUGGGGGAAAGUUAGAGCUUCCUUAGAACAUGCCCUUGACAACCUAUCCUUUCUCUGUUGAAUCAGGGCAAGCCUACUUGGCGCCAUAGUUCUGAAGCAGCUCCCUCGGACAAGCAGCCAAAACACUUUUGAAUAUCUCUGCAGGCAAUUUAAGCCUAUUGCUUUCAGUUCUAAGAGUCUGUAAAUGUUUCAUUGACAGGAUGAGUUACCAAGGAAGGCCAUGCAACAUCCAUUCUCGGAGAUCAAGGAGGAUCAUCUGCUCUGGGUUUGGAUGGGUUUCUUUUGCCUACAGAUCUCUUUUCAGCUCUAUUCUACAGCUUUUGGUUGUGCAAAGAGACAAUUCUUAACGGAUCCCAGUCCUUUCAAGUUUGCUGCUAAACUCGAGUUUUGUUGCAGAAGUACAAGUUUUGACCCGUCCUCCCUGAUAUUAACCAAAUAAGAGAAAACAGUUUCAAAUGUGUUGUUUGAAAGGAAGGGGCCCCAAAGUUUUCAUCUGCAGAAAUCCUGGUGAACCUUGAGGGACAAUCUAAGGAGACAGUGGAAAUUACAGAAUAGGGUAUAAAGUAUGGUGGCUCUUUCAAAACCAUCAAGAGGGAAAGGAAUGAAGACAUCAGUAAUACAUGAAAGGGUGUCCUGGUGAGUCAUUAUACUCCACAUAAAAUAUGAACUGUUCUUUCCUUCUCCAUCUGAUUCAUAUUUACACUUUAUAUUCCCUGUUCAUUUUUUUUUAAUGUUCACUGGGCUGUGAGCAAUGAGAACUUAUAGUUCUUGUAGGCAGAAGUAAGCCCGUGUUGAUCCUUGAGGUAUUUAAUGGACAGUUAGUGAGACCCUGCCACGUGAAAUGAGAGUUCUGGGGGAUCUGCCUGAGUUUACUUUGCCACACAUGAAGCCUCCAGACAGUGCUGGAAAUGCAGAUUUAGAUUGCAAAGGGGGAUUGGACUAGAAACAGUGAUGCAGAAGGACGUCAUAAUUUAAGUCGUGGGUGUGUGGUGUGGAUGCACUCCAGGGAAGCAGGUGCAGGGAGCAGGAGGGGAGAGCAGGGGGACCAGGAGUGCUGGGUUAGCACAGGGGACAGGGGAGGGGUGGCAGGCGACAAAGGAACAUGAGCAAGAGGCGCCUUGUCACAGCCCUUGAGGAAGCCGGGACUUUGAAGGAAGGUGUGAUCUGCAGGGUCAAAUGCAACACAGAUAUUUGGCUAAUAAAAAACCAUGAGAAAGCCAUCAAUGCUGGUGGCUCUGAGGCCUAGGUGGCUUCUGAGAAGGUGAUCACAUGAGAACUUUGACACAGAAACCUGAGUGCAAGGUGCUCAGGCAUCCACAAGGAAUAAUUCUGAUGGCCUUUCUAAGAAGAUUGGUGGUAAAGUGAGGGAGCGGGGAGGAUGAGAGACCAAGUUCAACUAAAUGGUUUGGCUUUUUAAGAAGGAACAUCCUUGGAACAUCUGUGCCAAGGAAGGAGCUUCUGGGAAGAGAGACUGAGGGAGCUGGUGAGGCCUGGGGUGAGGGAUUAUCGAAGGAGCUGGAAAGAACCACAUUCAUAACAAAUGAGGAGAAUCUCAGGUAUUGAAAGGAAAUACCUAUGGGUGAAGAUGAGGGGACCCCCAUACAUACACCUUCUCAUCAUAUAAAAUCUAAACAGUCCUGGGGCACUGUGGCCAAGGCCACGGACUUUGGAGUCAGCCUGGGUUCAAACGAUGACUUUAAGGCUAACUAGUCUGGGUGAACUCGGGCAUGUUACUCAAGCCUCGGUGCCCCAGUGUCUCCAUUUUCAAAAUGUAGAAAAGAAUAGUACCUACCCAGUAAGAUUAUAUAGGUAUUUAUAGAUCUACAGAUGGAUGGAUGGAUGGAUGGAUGGAUGGAUGGACGGACGGGUAGAUAGAAAAUGCUUAGAACAGUGUCUGGCAUCUACUAAAUACUAUAAAAAUUAACACAAAAUGAGGAGAAGUCCUGGAAGUUCAAGGGAAGUCUCAAGCACUUAACUGAGUCAAUCUCUAGCAGAACACAUCUCAUUGAAGUUUCCCUUUGGAGCCCGUCCAAGUUGUGCUUUUUAGUUUUGCUUUUUGUUUGUUUCCCCCCCUAUUUAACCCUUUGUUUAACGUGGAAACCCAAACCACAGUAUCUGGUAUCUUUGUGGUGACUAAAUGUUUCUGGUCCCAGCCAGCGGGGAACCCCAGCUGAGAUCCUGUCAGACAUUGUCUGAUGCUUGCAUUCAGGCCUGGGAAAAAUGUGCUUGACAAGCUUGCAUGUAAAAAAAAACUCUCCGACUCCUAAGAAAAUUGAGUUUUAAAACUGAAAACUCAGAGAUUUGAACUAUGACUAAUAUAAAGUAUUUGAGUCAAAAGGAAUAUAGUUUAUUUAUAGAAGUAAUAAAAGGAGUAUUCCACAUGAGCAUUUUAUACACAGAACAUUUCAGACACAAAGAGAUGGAAGUGAAUUUUUAUAGAUUAUUCACAUCGAGUCUAUGAUACUUGGUUACCUAUUAUCAUCUUUAUUAUUUUUAAAAUAUUUUAUUUAAAUUCAACUUGCCAACAUACAGUAUAAUACCCGGUACUCAUCCCAUCAAGUGCUUGCCUUAGCUAUUAUCAUCUUUAAAAAACAGAAUCUUGUCUCAUCUCUUGAAUGCAAAUUAAACAGUUCAGGCUUAGUUGGGCCAGGUCACACAGAAUCUGGAGCUCACUCUCACUGUGCUUUUACCUUGACUCUUAAACCUGCUACACUCAUGGUAGACCAAACAGUGGGUGAUGACUCAGGCCAAAAACCACCACAAACAGACCAUCGUUCAAGGCAUGGCAAGUGUAAGGGAAAGAUAAACUUUAAACAAAGCUGUAUUUAUUAUACAACAAUGGCCCCCAUUAGAGCACUUUGUUUCUGUAGACAAAUACUCCUAAUACAGUUUUUCCACUGCUCAAGAACCUUCAAUGGCUCCCCAGUGCCUAUGGAUUCACAAUGGCAACUUGUUGAGACUGUGCUUUUCUUGCUUACAACUAGCCCUGAUGACUUAGCUGAAACUGUCUAAGAUCUGAUUGGAAUUCAGGAUAAAUUAGUUGGAGAGACAGACUGAAGGCUUUAUGACAGUGUUGGCGUGUGCUUUGUUUGGGCACUAAAAAUCCAAAUAUUUUAGCCUCGCAUUCAACUCCCUCCAUUACUUGGCAUCAAUUUAGUACCCCCAGCUUAUCUCCUACUCCAUGUCUACUCAAAUGGUCUGUUUUGGGUACACUGCUGUCUCCAUGGUCCAUUAAACUCAUCUGUGCUGUCCUAUCUCUCUGCCAUCUUUCCUGCUGCUGUCCCAGCCAGUAGUACCCUUCGCAUUGGCCAAAGGAAGCCCUCUUUUCUUUAUGCUGUUACACUUAUAACUAGUUAUCUUUUUAUCUGGCCCUCUCAUUCUAUUUAACUCUUAAAUCAGUAAAAUUAAAACUGUACGAUAAACUCUCCCAAUCCAUGGUUUACUUGGAAAUACCCAUUGUUACCAGUUUGAUGUGUGUCUUUCCAUGAAUUUUUCUGUACAUUCACAAGCCUGUGAAUACAUAGUUAAAUUAUAGUUUUGUUAAUUAUUUUUAAUGUUCUGUACUUUAUCUUUUAAUUGCUUAUAAAUCCCUUGAGGGGAAGAAUGGAGGGUUGUGGAUGUUUCAUCCCCCACAGUUAAUAAGAAUUUUUGAAAAGCCAGCAGUUUUCUCAAAACACCAUUAGAGCAGGGUGGGAUUGAUAUGUGGGGAAAUGGUGGUAGAGAGUAGGUUCUUCAUACUGGAACAUUGGCUCUAAAGACGAUUGGAUUUGAGUUCAGUAUUAAUGGUAAUACUCUCUCAAUAUUAGGUAACUAGUUGUACAACAACCAGGAGAUGUAGGUUCCCCCAUUUUACUGAUGAGAGCAUGGAGACUUGAAGUGAUCACCUAAUUUCCUCAAGACCACACAGUUAAUAUGUAACACAGCCCAAAUUUGAACCCAGAUCUUACUGGCUCUGAAGUCCUAUCCUUCCCAUUAGAUUUUACCCCCUUGGAGACUGAAAAGAAUGAGCAUAGUCAGGACACUUGGGUGGCUCAGUGGCUGAGCAUCUAUCUGCCUUUGGCUCAGGUCAUGACCCCAGGGUCCUGGGAUUGAGUCCUGCAUCUGGCUCCCCAUAGGGAGCCUGCUUCUCCCUCUACCUAUGUCUCUGCCUCUCUCUGUGUCUCUCAUGAAUAAAUAAAUAAAAUCUUAAAAAAAAAAUAAAAAAA